RNAcentral lists this ribosomal RNA (467 nucleotides) under uncultured bacterium. Its description in RNAcentral is "partial 16S ribosomal RNA". It matches the Rfam family "Bacterial small subunit ribosomal RNA", at positions 28 to 507 of the family's 1533-position model. The record is from RNAcentral.
GACGAACGCUGGCGGCGUGCUUAACACAUGCAAGUCGAACGGAAAGGCCUGCUUUUGUGGGGUGCUCGAGUGGCGAACGGGUGAGUAACACGUGAGUAACCUGCCCUUGACUUUGGGAUAACUUCAGGAAACUGGGGCUAAUACCGGAUAGGAGCUCCUGCUGCAUGGUGGGGGUUGGAAAGUUUCGGCAGUUGGGGAUGGACUCGCGGCUUAUCAGCUUGUUGGUGGGGUAGUGGCUUACCAAGGCUUUGACGGGUAGCCGGCCUGAGAGGGUGACCGGCCACAUUGGGACUGAGAUACGGCCCAGACUCCUACGGGAGGCGGCAGUGGGGAAUAUUGCACAAUGGGCGGAAGCCUGAUGCAGCAACGCCGCGUGCGGGAUGACGGCCUUCGGGUUGUAAACCGCUUUCGCCUGUGACGAAGCGUGAGUGACGGUAAUGGGUAAAGAAGCACCGGCUAACUACGUG